Molecule: microRNA, 20 nt
Filed under: Schistosoma japonicum
Lineage: Eukaryota; Metazoa; Platyhelminthes; Trematoda; Strigeidida; Schistosomatidae
Also listed under: 1 other name
Description: sja-miR-190-3p
Gene: sja-miR-190-3p
Source: miRBase by way of RNAcentral
CAGUGACCAGACAUAUCCCU